AGAGAAGACAUUCACCUUGCUUCACGCCCUUGUGGAACAGAUCUUCUUACCUUGUGGAACAAAAUCUGAUCUUGCCAGAUUUUCUGAGGAGUUGACAGAAUUUGAAGCUGUUCCCGAUGCUUCCAUGAAGGGCCUCAGUGCUGAAGUUGAUGUUUUAAAGAAAGAAUUGGAAAACGUUAUUCAGUGCAGGCGGCUUAUUAAACCCAAGACAAUCAAGGUGACAUCCCA
Long non-coding RNA from Strigops habroptila (Kakapo), 228 nucleotides. RefSeq lists it as uncharacterized. The record is from RefSeq and is a predicted model, not a curated record. The transcript is spliced from 3 exons. Lineage: Eukaryota; Metazoa; Chordata; Aves; Psittaciformes; Psittacidae.